GUGCCAGCCGCCGCGGUAAUACGGAGGGUGCGAGCGUUAUUCGGAAUUACUGGGCGUAAAGCGCGUGCAGGCGGAAGGAGCAGUCUGAUGUGAAAGCCCGGGGCUUAACCCCGGAAGAGCAUUGGAAACCAUCCUUCUUGAGUGCUGGAGAGGAAGGGGGAAUUCCCGGUGUAGAGGUGAAAUUCGUAGAGAUCGGGAGGAAUACCAGUGGCGAAGGCGCCCUUCUGGACAGUCAAACUGACGCUGAGACGCGAAAGCGUGGGGAGCAAACAGGAUUAGAAACCCUCGUAGUCC
This 294-nucleotide ribosomal RNA is filed under the name uncultured bacterium. Its description in RNAcentral is "partial 16S ribosomal RNA". It matches the Rfam family "Bacterial small subunit ribosomal RNA", at positions 505 to 796 of the family's 1533-position model. The record is from RNAcentral.